This 253-nucleotide ribosomal RNA is filed under the name uncultured bacterium. RNAcentral's name for it is "partial 16S ribosomal RNA". It matches the Rfam family "Bacterial small subunit ribosomal RNA", at positions 524 to 776 of the family's 1533-position model. The record is from RNAcentral.
UACAGAGGCCUCAAGCGUUGUUCGGAUUUAUUGGGCGUAAAGGGUGCGUAGGCGGUACCGCAAGUUAGGUGUGAAAGUUCGAGGCUUAACCUCGAAAUUGCACCUAAUACUCCGGUGCUUGAGUCUCAUAGAGGAAUCUGGAAUUCACGGUGUAGCAGUGAAAUGCGUAGAUAUCGUGAAGAAGGCCUGUGGCGAAAGCAAGAUUCUGGGUGACGACUGACGCUGAGGCACGAAAGCCAGGGGAGCAAACGGG